UACGUAGGGGGCGAGCGUUGUCCGGAGUUACUGGGCGUAAAGAGCGUGUAGGCUGUUAGUUAAGUCAGGUGUGAAAUGCUAAGGCUCAACCUUGGAACUGCGCCUGAAACUGAUUGACUGGAGUCUUGGAGGGGCAACCGGAAUUCCUGGUGUAACGGUGAAAUGUGUAGAUAUCAGGAGGAACACCUGUGGCGAAGGCGGGUUGCUGGACAAUGACUGACGCUGAGACGCGAAAGCGUGGGUAGCAAAC
This 250-nucleotide ribosomal RNA is filed under the name uncultured prokaryote. Its description in RNAcentral is "partial 16S ribosomal RNA". It matches the Rfam family "Bacterial small subunit ribosomal RNA", at positions 524 to 773 of the family's 1533-position model. The record is from RNAcentral.